CCUACGGGGGGCAGCAGUGAGGAAUAUUGGUCAAUGGACGAGAGUCUGAACCAGCCAAGUAGCGUGAAGGAUGACUGCCCUAUGGGUUGUAAACUUCUUUUAUAUGGGAAUAAAACGUUCCACGUGUGGGAUUUUGUAUGUACCAUAUGAAUAAGGAUCGGCUAACUCCGUGCCAGCAGCCGCGGUAAUACGAAGGAUCCGAGCGUUAUCCGGAUUUAUUGGGUUUAAAGGGAGCGUAGGUGGAUUGUUAAGUCAGUUGUGAAAGUUUGCGGCUCAACCGUAAAAUUGCAGUUGAAACUGGCAGUCUUGAGUACAGUAGAGGUGGGCGGAAUUCGUGGUGUAGCGGUGAAAUGCUUAGAUAUCACGAAGAACUCCGAUUGCGAAGGCAGUUCACUGGACUGCAACUGACACUGAGGCUCGAAAGUGUGGGUAUCAAACAGGAUUAGAUACCCCUGUAGUC
RNAcentral lists this ribosomal RNA (460 nucleotides) under uncultured bacterium. RNAcentral's name for it is "partial 16S ribosomal RNA". It matches the Rfam family "Bacterial small subunit ribosomal RNA", at positions 338 to 795 of the family's 1533-position model. The record is from RNAcentral.